This is a long non-coding RNA of Aedes albopictus (Asian tiger mosquito), 600 nucleotides long. RefSeq lists it as uncharacterized. The transcript is spliced from 3 exons. The record is from RefSeq and is a predicted model, not a curated record. Lineage: Eukaryota; Metazoa; Arthropoda; Insecta; Diptera; Culicidae.
CGUUGAAACAUACUCAAAAGUGAGUAGGAUUCUACUCAGUUUUGUAUUUAAUCGAAAAUGUCAAAAACUGAGUGACAUUAUUUUUCCAAAGAGAGUAGAUUUCUACUCAGUUGCAUUAGUUUGGGGAUGAACUCACUUUUGAGUAGCAUCAUUCAAAUUCAUCUUCGGUAACGGUCAGCAGUUUGCCGUAAAUGAAAUUUGCGGAUUAAUUUAUUUAAAGAAUUUGUUGUCAUCUUUUGCGAUAACCACUCCUGCAUUACAAGGUUGUUAUUGAUGUCGAGCGGCGGAUCCAAGUUGACGGACAAGAUGCCACUUAUUUUUUCCUGCUAAGUGAUGAUCAUGGCAACAAAAUUUAAUUCCGGAACCUCCACCGCAGCCAGUAUGAGGCCGACCAGCUCGAAAACCGAGAACCAUUCCAUACCAUCCCCUUCAUCAUAGAUCAUCGAAAUGGAAUAUGUUUUUGCAGAUUUGGAAUUAGUGCUCGAAUUAGUGUAACAAAUCAUUAAUUGUAAAAUUACUUUUAAAUAUAUGAAUAAACAUGUUCUUUCAUUAUUUUGUAUUUUUUUUUAUUAAUUUUACGAAUAAAACCUACCAAAAUAA